CCCAGACUCCUACGGGAGGCAGCAGUGGGGAAUAUUGCACAAUGGGGGAAACCCUGAUGCAGCGACGCCGCGUGAGCGAUGAAGUAUUUCGGUAUGUAAAGCUCUAUCAGCAGGGAAGAAAAUGACGGUACCUGACUAAGAAGCCCCGGCUAACUACGUGCCAGCAGCCGCGGUAAUACGUAGGGGGCAAGCGUUAUCCGGAUUUACUGGGUGUAAAGGGAGCGUAGACGGCGACGCAAGUCUGGAGUGAAAGCCCGGGGCCCAACCCCGGGACUGCUCUGGAAACUGCGUCGCUGGAGUACGGGAGGGGCAGGCGGAAUUCCUGGUGUAGCGGUGAAAUGCGUAGAUAUCAGGAGGAACACCGGCGGCGAAGGCGGCCUGCUGGACCGUGACUGACGUUGAGGCUCGAGAGCGUGGGGAGCAAACAGGAUUAGAUCCCCUUGUA
This 445-nucleotide ribosomal RNA is filed under the name uncultured bacterium. RNAcentral's name for it is "bacterial SSU rRNA". It matches the Rfam family "Bacterial small subunit ribosomal RNA", at positions 330 to 792 of the family's 1533-position model. The record is from RNAcentral.